UUCCGGUUGAUCCUGCCGGACCUGACUGCUAUCGGAUUGAUWCUAGGCCAUGCGAGUCAUUGUAGCAAUACAAGGCAUACGGCUCAGUAACGCGUAGUCAACCUACCCUAUGGACGGAAAUAACCUCGGGAAACUGAGAAUAAUAUCCGAUAGAACAUUAUGCCUGGAAUGGUUUAUGUUCCAAAUGAUUUAUCGCCGUAGGAUGGGACUGCGGCCUAUCAGUUUGUUGGUGAGGUAAUGGCCCACCAAGACUAUUACAGGUACGGGCUCUGAGAGGAGUAGCCCGGAGAUGUGUACUGAGACACGGACCCAGGCCCUAUGGGGCGCAGCAGGCGAGAAAACUUUGCAAUGUGCGAAAGCACGACAAGGUUAAUCCGAGUGAUUUCUGCUAAAGAAAUCUUUUGUUAGUCCUAGAAACACUAACGAAUAAGGGGUGGGCAAGUUCUGGUGUCAGCCGCCGCGGUAAAACCAGCACCUCAAGUGGUCAGGAUGAUUAUUGGGCCUAAAGCAUCCGUAGCCGGCUCUGUAAGUCCUCGGUUAAAUCUGUACGCUUAACGUACAGGCUGCCGGGAAUACUGCAUAGCUAGGGAGUGGGAGAGGUAGACGGUACUCGGUAGGAAGGGGUAAAAUCCUUUGAUCUAUUGAUGACCACCUGUGGCGAAGGCGGUCUACCAGAACACGUCCGACGGUGAGGGAUGAAAGCUGGGGGAGCAAACCGGAUUAGAUACCCGGGUAGUCCCAGCUGUAAACUAUGCAAACUCAGUGAUGCAUUGGCUUGUGGCCAAUGCAGUGCUGCAGGGAAGCCGUUAAGUUUGCCGCCUGGGAAGUACGUACGCAAGUAUGAAACUUAAAGGAAUUGGCGGGGGAGCACCACAAGGGGUGAAGCCUGCGGUUCAAUUGGAGUCAACGCCGG
This 913-nucleotide ribosomal RNA is filed under the name uncultured Nitrososphaerota archaeon. RNAcentral describes it as "bacterial SSU rRNA". It matches the Rfam family "Archaeal small subunit ribosomal RNA", at positions 1 to 921 of the family's 1478-position model. Lineage: Archaea; Thermoproteati; Nitrososphaerota. The record is from RNAcentral.